GUUGGCUUAGAAGCAGCCACUCAUUUAAAGAGUGCGUAAUAGCUCACUAGUCGAGUGAUUGUGCGCCGAAAAUGUAACGGGGCUAAAAUUCAUACCGAAGCUUAGGAAUGAUAGUAAUAUUGUUGGUAGAUGAGCGUUGUGUAAGUCUGCGAAGCUACACCGAAAGGAGUAGUGGAGAUAUCACAAGUGAGAAUGCCGGAAUGAGUAGCGAGAAUUAUGUGAGAAUCAUAAUGGUCGAAAAUCUAAGGUUUCUUGAGGAAGGUUCGUCCGCUCAAGGUAAGCCGGGAGCUAAGGCGAGGCCGAGAGGCGUAGUCGAUGCACAUACGGUAAAGAUUCCGUAGCCACCGAAGUCGUUAAAUACAGGGACACAGGAACAUAGCCUAACCCCACCGUUGGUUGAGUGGGGCGUAAGGGAGCGAAAAUUAGUAGUGAAGUAGGUGAUUGUACACUGGCGAGAAAAGCUGUAUGGAUUGACAAGGUGCCCGUACCGCAAACCGACACAGGUAGAUGAGGAGAGAAUCCUAAGACCAGCGGGAGAAGUGUUGUUAAGGAACUCGGCAAAAUGACCCCGUAACUUCGGGAUAAGGGGAGCCUACGAGAGUAGGCCGCAGAGAAUAGUCUCAAGCGACUGUUUAGCAAAAACACAGGUCUAUGCUAAAUCGAAAGAUGAUGUAUAUGGGCUGACGCCUGCCCGGUGCUGGAAGGUUAAGGGGAAGUGUUAGAGCAAUCGAAGCACUGAACUUAAGCCCCAGUAAACGGCGGCCGUAACUAUAACGGUCCUAAGGUAGCGAAAUUCCUUGUCAGGUAAGUUCUGACCCGCACGAAUGGCGUAACGACUUGAGAGCUGUCUCAACAACAUACCCGGCGAAAUUGAAGUACUGGUAAAGAUGCCAGUUACCCGUGAUAAGACGGAAAGACCCCAUGGAGCUUUACUGUAACUUGAUAUUGAAUUUUUGUAUUACAUGUACAGGAUAGGUGGGAGACAGAGAACUAAUGCCGCCAGGUGUUAGGGAGUCGAUGUUGGGAUACCACUCUUGUAAUAUGAAGGUUCUAACCUGCACCCGUGAAUCCGGGUGGGGGACACUGUCAGGUGGACAGUUUGACUGGGGCGGUCGCCUCCUAAAAGGUAACGGAGGCGUUCAAAGGUUGGUUCAGCACGGACGGAAAUCGUGCAACGAGUGCAAACGCAUAAACCAGCCUAACUGCGAGACCGACAAGUCGAGCAGUAACGAAAGUUGGAGUUAGUGAUCCGGCGGUAUGAGAGUGGAAUUGCCGUCGCUCAACGGAUAAAAGCUACCCUGGGGAUAACAGGCUGAUCUCCCCCAA
This 1326-nucleotide ribosomal RNA is filed under the name human gut metagenome. Its description in RNAcentral is "bacterial LSU rRNA". It matches the Rfam family "Bacterial large subunit ribosomal RNA", at positions 1100 to 2495 of the family's 2925-position model. The record is from RNAcentral.